UGUCCUUCGAGCCCAUUCUCUUUACUU
RNAcentral lists this non-coding RNA (27 nucleotides) under Homo sapiens (human). Lineage: Eukaryota; Metazoa; Chordata; Mammalia; Primates; Hominidae. The record is from RNAcentral.